Molecule: long non-coding RNA, 263 nt
Filed under: Prunus persica (peach)
Lineage: Eukaryota; Viridiplantae; Streptophyta; Magnoliopsida; Rosales; Rosaceae
Description: long non-coding RNA (PPER_LNC007353)
Source: RNAcentral
AGAAAUAGGCAACACUUUCACUUACAUCAGUUUUAGGUUCAAAGAAUUCUGGGUCAGACAUUAUUUCCAAAGUACUCAAAUUACACAUACAUUCCUUGAAAAGUGGAGAUCACGAAAGCUUCCAACAUGAAUAGACAAAUAACAAACAUUCUCUAAUAGCAGUGGCAUGAAAUCUCGAUAGAAGACAGCCUACAAGUUAUAAACACAAACAUAAGGGAACCGAAAAACAAGAAUUACGAACAUUAAUUAAGAAAAGAACUACC